This 482-nucleotide ribosomal RNA is filed under the name uncultured bacterium. Its description in RNAcentral is "partial 16S ribosomal RNA". It matches the Rfam family "Bacterial small subunit ribosomal RNA", at positions 29 to 507 of the family's 1533-position model. The record is from RNAcentral.
AUGAACGCUGGCGGCGUGCCUAACACCUGCCAGUCGAACGGAGUCGUUUUGGAAAUCUCUUCGGAGAUGGAAUUCUCGACUUAGUGGCGGACGGGUGAGUAACGCGUGAGCAAUCUGCCUUUAAGAGGGGGAUAACAGUCGGAAACGGCUGCUAAUACCGCAUAAAGCAUUAAAUUCGCAUGUUUUUGAUGCCAAAGGAGCAAUCCGCUUUUAGAUGAGCUCGCGUCUGAUUAGCUAGUUGGCGGGGUAACGGCCCACCAAGGCGACGAUCAGUAGCCGGACUGAGAGGUUGAACGGCCACAUUGGGACUGAGACACGGCCCAGACUCCUACGGGAGGCAGCAGUGGGGAAUAUUGCGCAAUGGGGGAAACCCUGACGCAGCAACGCCGCGUGAUUGAAGAAGGCCUUCGGGUUGUAAAGAUCUUUAAUCAGGGACGAAACAAAUGACGGUACCUGAAGAAUAAGCUCCGGCUAACUACGUG